GAAGCCGGUAAAAGAACCCUAGAUCGACCAGUCAAAACAGAUCACGCCCUCCUCGUUCCUUCCACUCCCUCGACACCACCUCCUCCCCCGUCCGGUGGCGGCUCCUCCUCGCUCCCCCUUCCGGCAGCGCCUCCUCCUUCCUCCCCACGGUCUCUCGCAUCGCGCCGCCACCAGCUGGCUGCACCACAUCCUCAGCUAUCCAGCCCGCUUCCACAAUGGAUAAGGGAAGCACGGGCUGCUGCUCCGCUGCCGCUGCCACCGCCUCUUCCUCUACCUCAGCUCAACAUGAGGAUCUUGGGCCGCGGCUGCACUGCACGAGGGGGCGCCACCAAUAUGCCUUGUGUCUCUGCGAGCCAACGGAGCAACCAUGGAUUCACUGCGGCAUCGACACCCAUCUCAAGGACCUUAUUCCUUGCACUCUUGACUCUUUUGAGAAGGAGAAAUUUAUUGUUGGGAGGCAAAACGACUGAUGAUGAGUUCCUGAAACAUGUAGCAUGAGUGCGUCAACCGACAUCGGAGAAAUCAGGUUCAUAGAUGGCUGCUUUAUGCCGGGGUGAACGAGCUUCUGUUAGGCCGUCGAUUUCCCAAUGAAGGAGCUUCGAGGCAAGCACUGCAAUGAUGUAGUUUUGUAUAUGGCAUAACCUGUAGGAACCCUUUCCUUGUUUCUUUUUCUUCUUGGUUUCGCUCCUGUUGAUUAAUGCCAAUUAUUCUAGCUAUUUUCGUUGUACCUAGGUGCCUGUGAGAUAUUUACAGACAGAAUUCGUGCCGAUUUAUUCAGUUGUGGCACGUACCGCAGCUACAUCAGUUUGGUAAUUAGUCCUCAAAUAAGGUCGUUUUCCUCCCCCCUUUA
Molecule: long non-coding RNA, 850 nt
Organism: Triticum aestivum (bread wheat)
Lineage: Eukaryota; Viridiplantae; Streptophyta; Magnoliopsida; Poales; Poaceae
Exons: 3
Source: RefSeq, a predicted model, not a curated record